Molecule: ribosomal RNA, 216 nt
Filed under: uncultured bacterium
Lineage: Bacteria
Description: partial 16S ribosomal RNA
Rfam family: Bacterial small subunit ribosomal RNA
Source: RNAcentral
UAAAACGUAGGAGACGAACGUUAUCCGGAGUUACUGGGCGUAAAGGGCGUGUAGGCGGUAUGUUAAGUCUGGCGUGAAAGCUCUCGGCUAAACCGGGAGAGGUCGUUGGAUACUGGCACACUAGAGGAUGGUAGAGGCGUGUGGAAUUCCGGGUGUAGUGGUGAAAUGCGUAGAGAUCCGGAGGAACACCAGUGGCGAAGGCGACACGCUGGGCCA